UAAAGAUUCAUCGCUGAUAGAUAGGCAUGCGUUCCAUUAGGCAGUUGGCGGGGUAACGGCCCACCAAACCGACGAUGGAUAGGGGUUCUGAGAGGAAGGUCCCCCACAUUGGUACUGAGACACGGACCAAACUCCUACGGGAGGCAGCAGUGAGGAAUAUUGGUCAAUGGGCGUAAGCCUGAACCAGCCAAGUCGCGUGAGGGAUGAAGGUUCUAUGGAUCGUAAACCUCUUUUAUAAGGGAAUAAAGUGUGGGACGUGUCCUAUUUUGUAUGUACCUUAUGAAUAAGGAUCGGCUAACUCCGUGCCAGCAGCCGCGGUAAUACGGAGGAUCCGAGCGUUAUCCGGAUUUAUUGGGUUUAAAGGGUGCGUAGGCGGCCUUUUAAGUCAGCGGUGAAAGUCUGUGGCUCAACCAUAGAAUUGCCGUUGAAACUGGGGGGCUUGAGUAUGUUUGAGGCAGGCGGAAUGCGUGGUGUAGCGGUGAGAUGCUUAGAUAUCACGCAGAACCCCGAUUGCGAAGGCAGCCUGCCAGGCCAUGACUGACGCUGAUGCACGAAAGCGUGGGGAUCAAACAGGAUUAGAUACCCUGGUAGUCCACGCAGUA
This 602-nucleotide ribosomal RNA is filed under the name uncultured bacterium. RNAcentral describes it as "bacterial SSU rRNA". It matches the Rfam family "Bacterial small subunit ribosomal RNA", at positions 202 to 804 of the family's 1533-position model. The record is from RNAcentral.